RNAcentral lists this ribosomal RNA (2021 nucleotides) under human gut metagenome. RNAcentral describes it as "bacterial LSU rRNA". It matches the Rfam family "Bacterial large subunit ribosomal RNA", at positions 450 to 2473 of the family's 2925-position model. The record is from RNAcentral.
GGACCAUCCUCCAAGGCUAAAUACUCGUGAUCGACCGAUAGCGUACUAGUACUGUGAAGGAAAGGUUAAAAGAACCCCGGGAGGGGAGUGAAAUAGAUUCUGAAACCGCAUGCAUACAAACAGUAGGAGCCCUUCGGGGUGACUGCGUACCUUUUGCAUAAUGGGUCAGCGACUUAUGUUAUGUGGCAAGCCUAACCGACUAGGGGAGGCGCAGCGAAAGCGAGUCCGAACAGGGCGAUUCAGUCGCAUGGCAUAGACCCGAAACCAGAUGAGCUAACCAUGGCCAGGCUGAAGGUGUGGUAACACACACUGGAGGGCCGAACCUACUGGUGUUGCAAAACCAGAGGAUGAGCUGUGGUUAGGGGUGAAAGGCUUAACAAAUCUGGAGAUAGCUGGUUCUCCCCGAAAACUAUUGAGGUAGUGCCUUGUAUAUGAGCUUCUGGGGGUAGAGCACUGUUAUAGCUAGGGGGACAUGGCGUCUUACCAAACUAUGGCAAACUCCGAAUACCAGAAAGCUUCGUACAGGAGACAGAGCACCGGGUGCUAACGUCCGGACUCAAAAGGGAAUCAACCCAGACCGCCAGCUAAGGUCCCUAAUAUCAGCUAAGUGGAAAACGAAGUGGAAAGGCUAAAACAGUCAGGAAGUUGGCUUAGAAGCAGCCAUCCUUCAAAGAAAGCGUAAUAGCUCACUGAUCGAGUCCUUCCGCGCGGAAGAUGUAACGGGGCUAAGUUGAUAACCGAAGCUGCGGAUUCAUACUUUUAGUGUGAGUGGUAGGGGAGCGUUCUGUAAGCCUGCGAAGGUGGAUCGUAAGGUCUGCUGGAGGUAUCAGAAGUGCGAAUGCUGACAUGAGUAACGAUAAAGCGGGUGAAAAGCCCGCUCGCCGCAAACCCAAGGUUUCCUGCUCUACGUUAAUCGGAGCAGGGUGAGUCGGUUCCUAAGGCCAGGCUGAGAAGCGUAGCUGAUGGAAAUCAGGUUAAUAUUCCUGAACCGGCGUUGAAUGCGAUGGGGUGACGGAGCAGCCAGAGUGGACCGGGUGUUGGAUGUCCCGGCUUCCGAGCGAUGGGUGCCUGCAGGCAAAUCCGCAGGCGUAUACCCAGGACGAAGGAUCGGGUCUUCUUUUGAAGACGAAGCCACUGGAAGCGCUUCCAGGAAAAACCUCUAAGCUUCAGUUCAACGGCGACCGUACCGUAAACCGACACAGGUGGGUGAGCUGAAUAUGCUCAGGCGCUUGAGAGAACUCGGGAGAAGGAACUCGGCAAAUUGACACCGUAACUUCGGAAGAAGGUGUGCCUUUGUAGCUUGAUGGGAGAGAAACCCAAAGGGCGAAGAGGUCUCAGAGAAUCGGUGGCUGUAACUGUUUACUAAAAACACAGCGCUCUGCAAAGAUGAAAGUCGACGUAUAGGGCGUGAUGCCUGCCCGGUGCUGGAAGAUUAAUUGAUGGGGUGCAAGCUCCUGAUCGAAGUCCCAGUAAACGGCGGCCGUAACUAUAACGGUCCUAAGGUAGCGAAAUUCCUUGUCGGGCAAGUUCCGACCUGCACGAAUGGCAUAAUAAUGGCCACACUGUCUCCUCCCGAGACUCAGUGAAAUUGAAAUGUUUGUGAUGAUGCAAUCUCCCCGCGGCUAGACGGAAAGACCCCAUGAACCUUAACUGUAGCUUUGCAUUGGACUUUGAACCGAUCUGUGUAGGAUAGGCGGGAGGCUUUGAAGAAUGGACGCCAGUUCAUUCGGAGCCGUCGUUGAAAUACCGCCCUGAUUUGUUUGAGGUUCUAACCUGGGCCAGUAAUCCUGGCUGGGGACCGUGCAUGGUGGGCAGUUUGACUGGGGCGGUCUCCUCCUAAAGGGUAACGGAGGAGUGCGAAGGUACGCUAAUCACGGUCGGAAAUCGUGAGGAUACUGCAAUGGGAAAAGCGUGCCUGACUGCGAGACAGACAAGUCGAGCAGAUGCGAAAGCAGGUCAUAGUGAUCCGGUGGCUUCUGCAUGGAAGGGCCAUCGCUCAACGGAUAAAAGGUACUCUGGGG